Monodelphis domestica (gray short-tailed opossum) is the source of this 152-nucleotide small nuclear RNA. Its record names the gene U4. It matches the Rfam family "U4 spliceosomal RNA". From Rfam's summary of the family: U4 small nuclear RNA (U4 snRNA) is a component of the major U2-dependent spliceosome. The structure of U4 snRNA from yeast and human has been reported. Lineage: Eukaryota; Metazoa; Chordata; Mammalia; Didelphimorphia; Didelphidae. The record is from Ensembl.
AGCUUGGCCAGUGGCAGUAUAGUAGCCAAUGAGGUUUAACCAAGGUGUGAUUAUUGCUAAUUGAAAACUUUUCCUAAAAAGGUACUGGUCCCAAGAGCAUUGCAAAGAGGUUCACCGAAGGGCAAUUUCAUGAAAGUUCUACCAAAAUAGAA